GGAGGGAUGCGAGAGCGGCCGGUUGGGCCCGCCUGGGCCGCGUGUGUGGCCUCACAGUCACCGUGGGUUCGAAUCCCACUCCCUCCG
Molecule: transfer RNA, 87 nt
Filed under: Acidimicrobiales bacterium
Lineage: Bacteria; Bacillati; Actinomycetota; Acidimicrobiia; Acidimicrobiales
Description: tRNA-Pro
Rfam family: tRNA
About the family: Transfer RNA (tRNA) molecules are approximately 80 nucleotides in length. Their secondary structure includes four short double-helical elements and three loops (D, anti-codon, and T loops). Further hydrogen bonds mediate the characteristic L-shaped molecular structure. tRNAs have two regions of fundamental functional importance: the anti-codon, which is responsible for specific mRNA codon recognition, and the 3' end, to which the tRNAs corresponding amino acid is attached (by aminoacyl-tRNA synthetases). tRNAs cope with the degeneracy of the genetic code in two manners: having more than one tRNA (with a specific anti-codon) for a particular amino acid; and 'wobble' base-pairing, i.e. permitting non-standard base-pairing at the 3rd anti-codon position.
Source: RNAcentral